UUAGAAGCCGGUGACUAAAGUCGUAAGACGCUUUGGGAGGGGCCUGCGUCCCAUCAGCUAGUUGGUAGGGUAACGGCCUACCAAGGCGACGACGGGUAGGGGACCUGAGAGGGUGGCCCCCCACAAUGGAACUGAAACACGGUCCAUACACCUACGGGUGGCAGCAGUAGGGAAUAUUGCACAAUGGGCGAAAGCCUGAUGCAGCAACGCCGCGUGCGCGAAGAAGGCCUUCGGGUCGUAAAGCGCUUUUCUGGGAGAUGAGAAAGGACAGUAUCCCAGGAAUAAGUCUCGGCUAACUACGUGCCAGCAGCCGCGGUAACACGUAGGAGGCAAGCGUUAUCCGGAUUCACUGGGCGUAAAGCGCGUGCAGGCGGUUCGGUAAGUUGGGCGUGAAAUCUCCUGGCUUAACUGGGAGAGGCCGUCCAAUACUACCGGGCUAGAGAGCAGUAGAGGAAGAUGGAAUUCCCGGUGUAGUGGUGAAAUGCGUAGAUAUCGGGAGGAACACCAGUGGCGAAAGCGAUCUUCUGGACUGUUUCUGACGCUCAGACGCGAAAGCUAGGGUAGUAAACGGGAUUAGAGACCCCGGUAAUCCUAGCCGUAAACGAUGUAAACUUGGCGUCGGUGGCUUAAACUCCGUCGGUGCCGCAGCAAACGCGAUAAGUUUACCGCCUGGGGACUACGAUCGCAAGAUUAAAACUCAAAGGAAUUGACGGGGGCCCGCACAAGCAGCGGAGCGUGUGGUUUAAUUCGAUGCUACACGAAGAACCUUACCCGGGUUUGACAUGCAAGUGGUAGUGAUCCGAAAAGGUGAACGACCCGCAAGGGAGCUUGCACAGGGUGUUGCAUGGCUGUCGUCAGCUCGUGGCCGUGAGAUGUUCCGGUUAAGUCCGCUAACGAGCGCAACCC
Molecule: ribosomal RNA, 906 nt
Filed under: uncultured bacterium
Lineage: Bacteria
Description: bacterial SSU rRNA
Rfam family: Bacterial small subunit ribosomal RNA
Source: RNAcentral